Molecule: unclassified non-coding RNA, 408 nt
Filed under: soil metagenome
Description: partial contains 5.8S ribosomal RNA, internal transcribed spacer 2, and large subunit ribosomal RNA
Rfam family: 5.8S ribosomal RNA (bases 1-120)
Source: RNAcentral
GAUGAAGAACGUAGCGAAAUGCGAUAAGUAAUGUGAAUUGCAGAAUUCAGUGAAUCAUCGAAUCUUUGAACGCACCUUGCGCUCCUUGGCAUUCCGAGGAGCAUGCCUGUUUGAGUGUCAUUAAAUUCUCAAGACCUGUCUGCUUUUUUGAUAGGUAUUGGAUUUUGGGGGUUGCAGGCUGUUUCAAAUAAAUAGCCUUGCUCUCCUUGAAUGUAUUAGUGGAGAAAAGCCAUUGAACUCCAUUGGUGUGAUAAAACCUAUCAAUGCCAGGAGCAAUAUCACUACUUCUCUCUGCUGUCUAACUGUGACUGUCUGUAUUAAUUAGUAUGGAUGGGGACAACUUGACCAACUUGACCUCAAAUCAGGUAGGACUACCCGCUGAACUUAAGCAUAUCAAUAAGCAGAGGA